This 447-nucleotide ribosomal RNA is filed under the name Barnesiella sp. EBA7-27. RNAcentral describes it as "bacterial SSU rRNA". It matches the Rfam family "Bacterial small subunit ribosomal RNA", at positions 62 to 496 of the family's 1533-position model. The record is from RNAcentral. Lineage: Bacteria; Pseudomonadati; Bacteroidota; Bacteroidia; Bacteroidales; Barnesiellaceae.
UCGAGGGGCAGCGGGGAGGUAGCAAUACCUUUGCCGGCGACCGGCGCACGGGUGAGUAACACGUAUGCAAUCCACCUGUAACAGGGGGAUAACCCGGAGAAAUCCGGACUAAUACCCCAUAAUAUGGGCUCUCCGCAUGGAGGGUUCAUUAAAGAGAGCAAUUUUGGUUACAGACGAGCAUGCGCUCCAUUAGCCAGUUGGCGGGGUAACGGCCCACCAAAGCGACGAUGGAUAGGGGUUCUGAGAGGAAGGUCCCCCACAUUGGAACUGAGACACGGUCCAAACUCCUACGGGAGGCAGCAGUGAGGAAUAUUGGUCAAUGGUCGGCAGACUGAACCAGCCAAGUCGCGUGAGGGAAGACGGCCCUACGGGUUGUAAACCUCUUUUGUCGGAGAGUAAAGUACGCUACGUGUAGCGUAUUGCAAGUAUCCGAAGAAAAAGCAUCGG